Molecule: ribosomal RNA, 115 nt
Filed under: Mastacembelus armatus (zig-zag eel)
Lineage: Eukaryota; Metazoa; Chordata; Actinopteri; Synbranchiformes; Mastacembelidae
Source: RNAcentral
UCUAGCUAACCAUCCUGUGAGUGCCCGAUACCAUCAGAUCUCAGAAGAUAAACAGGGAUGGGCCUGGUUAGUAUUUGGAUGGAAGAUGGCUCUGGAAGACCAGGGGUCACUAGAC